RNAcentral lists this ribosomal RNA (1707 nucleotides) under Escherichia coli. RNAcentral describes it as "partial 23S ribosomal RNA". It matches the Rfam family "Bacterial large subunit ribosomal RNA", at positions 942 to 2632 of the family's 2925-position model. RNAcentral also lists the same sequence under 1 other name. Lineage: Bacteria; Pseudomonadati; Pseudomonadota; Gammaproteobacteria; Enterobacterales; Enterobacteriaceae. The record is from RNAcentral.
ACCCGAUGCAAACUGCGAAUACCGGAGAAUGUUAUCACGGGAGACACACGGCGGGUGCUAACGUCCGUCGUGAAGAGGGAAACAACCCAGACCGCCAGCUAAGGUCCCAAAGUCAUGGUUAAGUGGGAAACGAUGUGGGAAGGCCCAGACAGCCAGGAUGUUGGCUUAGAAGCAGCCAUCAUUUAAAGAAAGCGUAAUAGCUCACUGGUCGAGUCGGCCUGCGCGGAAGAUGUAACGGGGCUAAACCAUGCACCGAAGCUGCGGCAGCGAUGCUUAUGCGUUGUUGGGUAGGGGAGCGUUCUGUAAGCCUGCGAAGGUGUGCUGUGAGGCAUGCUGGAGGUAUCAGAAGUGCGAAUGCUGACAUAAGUAACGAUAAAGCGGGUGAAAAGCCCGCUCGCCGGAAGACCAAGGGUUCCUGUCCAACGUUAAUCGGGGCAGGGUGAGUCGACCCCUAAGGCGAGGCCGAAAGGCGUAGUCGAUGGGAAACAGGUUAAUAUUCCUGUACUUGGUGUUACUGCGAAGGGGGGACGGAGAAGGCUAUGUUGGCCGGGCGACGGUUGUCCCGGUUUAAGCGUGUAGGCUGGUUUUCCAGGCAAAUCCGGAAAAUCAAGGCUGAGGCGUGAUGACGAGGCACUACGGUGCUGAAGCAACAAAUGCCCUGCUUCCAGGAAAAGCCUCUAAGCAUCAGGUAACAUCAAAUCGUACCCCAAACCGACACAGGUGGUCAGGUAGAGAAUACCAAGGCGCUUGAGAGAACUCGGGUGAAGGAACUAGGCAAAAUGGUGCCGUAACUUCGGGAGAAGGCACGCUGAUAUGUAGGUGAAGUCCCUUGCGGAUGGAGCUGAAAUCAGUCGAAGAUACCAGCUGGCUGCAACUGUUUAUUAAAAACACAGCACUGUGCAAACACGAAAGUGGACGUAUACGGUGUGACGCCUGCCCGGUGCCGGAAGGUUAAUUGAUGGGGUCAGCGCAAGCGAAGCUCUUGAUCGAAGCCCCGGUAAACGGCGGCCGUAACUAUAACGGUCCUAAGGUAGCGAAAUUCCUUGUCGGGUAAGUUCCGACCUGCACGAAUGGCGUAAUGAUGGCCAGGCUGUCUCCACCCGAGACUCAGUGAAAUUGAACUCGCUGUGAAGAUGCAGUGUACCCGCGGCAAGACGGAAAGACCCCGUGAACCUUUACUAUAGCUUGACACUGAACAUUGAGCCUUGAUGUGUAGGAUAGGUGGGAGGCUUUGAAGUGUGGACGCCAGUCUGCAUGGAGCCGGCCUUGAAAUACCACCCUUUAAUGUUUGAUGUUCUAACGUGGACCCGUGAUCCGGGUUGCGGACAGUGUCUGGUGGGUAGUUUGACUGGGGCGGUCUCCUCCUAAAGAGUAACGGAGGAGCACGAAGGUUGGCUAAUCCUGGUCGGACAUCAGGAGGUUAGUGCAAUGGCAUAAGCCAGCUUGACUGCGAGCGUGACGGCGCGAGCAGGUGCGAAAGCAGGUCAUAGUGAUCCGGUGGUUCUGAAUGGAAGGGCCAUCGCUCAACGGAUAAAAGGUACUCCGGGGAUAACAGGCUGAUACCGCCCAAGAGUUCAUAUCGACGGCGGUGUUUGGCACCUCGAUGUCGGCUCAUCACAUCCUGGGGCUGAAGUAGGUCCCAAGGGUAUGGCUGUUCGCCAUUUAAAGUGGUACGCGAGCUGGGUUUAGAACGUCGUGAGACAGUUC